GCUGGACCCAUCACCCUGCCCACCCACGGGGUUGCAGACACGUCGACGUGACCACUACGACCAUAACAGCGUCGAAGAACAGCCAGGAUGACCCUUCUGUGCACCCCUGGGGUAACAGACUCUAGCUUCAUGCUAUGAAAUCCAUUUGGGUGGAAACCCCCUGAAUCUUAGAGGUUUGCCUUUUCUGGACAUAUCACGUGCGUACAUGGAGUCAAACAGCAUGCAGCCUCUUGUGCCUGGCUUCUUUUCUCUCUGUAUUCUGUCUUCGAGGUGAAAACAAUUUUGGGAGCUCUCACCGUGUGCCAAGUCAGUGGCUACACCUUGGAGCGUAAUGAACAUCGAGUCGCACAUCGGACAGCUACCUGCUUGAAUCAGGGGUUGACGUUUCCCUCGAAACCUUCAUUGCCUUAUGGAUAUCGGGGUCUGCGGAACCAGGGGAAGGGCCACUGCGAACAGCCUAGGGUCUAUUAACAGAGUGCAGCGAGGUCCUGGGACAGAGGAGAGAGAAGGGAUUUCCGAGUUCUUCCCGAACGUUCCUGGCCACACCCAGGAAGCAGCCUUGCAGAUAAGUAUUCCAGUUUAUCCGCCCACGGCCUACCCGCCUGCCCUCUCUCAGUCUGUGCAGGAAAGUACAGAACCUCAGAAUCCCCAUGUGGGAGGGGAGAUGGGUGAUCAGAUUUUCUAGCCCUCUAGGUUGCAAACAGAGACCUUGUCCCCAUUUUACGGGGCCCCAGAGAGGGUGACCGUCACACCCCUCUUUUGGCACGGAGGCUAGAAUUUUGUCAACUCCACCAUCAGGAACUUCUGUAGAAUGGAGUUUAAUGACCUCAUAUUGAGAACCUGUAGAUCUGGGGUCAGAAGAAGUGAGUCAGAUGGGGGUUGGGGACUCCUGGUGGCUCUUCUCAGUGCUGGCCCUUUGUCAUCAUCAUAUUUGUAAAGCUUGGCCCAGGGCUCCUUUACCCAGCAGUGGAGUCGAGACGUGGGCACGGUGACUCUAGGGCCAUAUUCUUUCCUCCAGAUCUGGACCCGUGCCCUGAGUCCCAGGUGCCCGAAGCAAGCUCCGGACACACGCUAAGAGGCGCCCCUGACUCUCCUGGCCCAGCUCUGCCAGCCGAUGAAGAGAGCUUAGCUGUUACCAGAAGCAAAACUGAGAUAUGAUUCUGGGUCAGGACUAGGAGGCAUUUGAUGGGGGCAAAAAAGUAUCCGAGGCUGAUCUGUAGGGCCCCCCUCUUUCCUCUCCACUGCCUCACACUGUGGGUUAGUACUGUGCACUCUGGGUGAACGUAGGGCUGGAAGGAUCCCAGGGUGCAGAGAGAGAGAGAGAGAGAGGGACAGACUUCCCGGGGCUACACAGAAUGGCAAAGCUGGAUCAGGACUCUGGAUUCCUGACUCCAUUCACUGCUUCUGCUCAGCUGAAUUUGUCUUACUUUGUCCUGAAGCCCCUUCUGCAGUUUUUGGGGAACAGGGGGUUGGGUGAGGGAGCCCCCGCUUAUCCCGAGGACAUUCUGGGGUGGGAGGGAGGGAGGUAAAGGGGAGUGUGUCUGGGCCCAGCCUCUCUGGCCCAGGGUGCCCUUCUUCUUGCUAGCAGAGACUUCUGGCCAGGCCUGGGCUGGGGGAUGGGGCCUGGGUGCAGUUUUCUCCUGCGGUGUGGUUGGCUCUUUUGUCUUCCAGGAUGGGAUCUACACGGCAAAGGAGCUGGGAGCUGCGCCUGGGCUGCUCACGUGCUGGCUGGGUGCUUCCAGGUAAACCUGGCACAAACACGGACCAAGCACCUUCUCCCAGCGAGAUUCCGGGGAUCCAGAGGUUCACUCCAGAGACACGGUUCCACCCUCUCAGAUCUUCACACCAGAAUGUGCUUUAUCACGGUCUCUGCGAAGGAGUGAGCUCCCCAUCCUGGGAGGUGGCUCUUCCCAGCUGUGUCUCCAGGACUCCUGGUGUGGUCUCUUUGGAGCCCGAGUGACUCUGGACUCCGGCCACAGUGAUACAGGGAGCAGCCUUUGCUGUUUUUCUGGAACUCUGGACAAUUCUCGAGAGACCUCAUCUUUCCCAGCUGCUCAGAUGGAGCCUCAGACAAAAGGAUCAAGGGCCCUUCUGGUUGGCGCUUGGCUGAGGACAGGCCCUGGCUCUGGAGGGCAGCUGGAGGGAGGGCUAUGAGGGAGGCUGGCCGCCCACUGUCCCUCCGUGUCCACCUGGACCCUGCCUAUCAGACCUUACCGUGUGUGCCUGGACACCACUUUUUGGCCUUGUGCCGACUUGAUGGCUCUCUGCAGCCCUGCUCCUGGGCCAAGGCCCCACGGACCGUACCCUUACCAAGGCUGGGUCUGGAAGGACCCUCCAGGCUGGGGCAGGACCACAGGGAUGGGAAUCAGGGUGGAGCUGCCUAGUGGAAGGGAGGCCAGGCACAGCUUCGUGGGCUCCAUCGCCUAGAGUCUGUCUCGCGCCGUUUGCCUUGAGCGAUUCUCAUUUUUGUGGGUGCUUUUUGGAUGAGGUUCUUCUCUGUUGCUCUCUGCCUGAUGGUCACAGGAAGGGGGCAGUCAGGGUCUGGGAGGAGUCUGGGCCUUCCCCCAGUGUGGUUGAGUUUUGGGGGACAGAUGGAGGGGCAGAAGCUGUGCUAUCCUGAAAGGGGAGGGUUUGUAAGAGAUGAGGAGGCCCGGGUAGGGGGAGCUUGCCAGAGGGAGACAGAAACUGGGCCCUUUUCUCAGCAUCCAAAGGGAACAGGCUGGAUCCAGCCUUGUCCCCAGGCUCGAGGGGUCAGAUGACCCCAGCCAGAUCUCUGAUCUCUGUUCCUUAUUGCACAGAUCCUUGAUUCUGUCCUUGGGGGACCAAGCAGUGCAGACCCCAGG
This is a long non-coding RNA of Lontra canadensis (Northern American river otter), 2843 nucleotides long. RefSeq lists it as uncharacterized. The transcript has 6 exons. NCBI's taxonomy places the organism in Eukaryota, Metazoa, Chordata, Mammalia, Carnivora, Mustelidae. The record is from RefSeq and is a predicted model, not a curated record.